Molecule: long non-coding RNA, 224 nt
Filed under: Chinchilla lanigera (long-tailed chinchilla)
Lineage: Eukaryota; Metazoa; Chordata; Mammalia; Rodentia; Chinchillidae
Description: lncRNA (ENSCLAG00000026725.1)
Source: RNAcentral
AAGGCCUCACUGGGGAUGAAUGAGUCAUGCAGUGAGGAGACAGAGCCUGUCCAGGCAAGGCAGUGGUGUGGGUGUGUGGCCCGUGUCUUCGGCAGCCCAUAUUCCAGGCCCAUCGGCAGCACUGUGCAGCUGAGGAUACUCUGCUGAGUCACUGCUUAUGACCCUGUAAGCCUACAUAGUUCUGUGCUGUGGCUUUGGCAAAGGGCACUGUGACAUGACCUAGU